UUCAAAUCAAUCUGACGCAUUGCAAUGCAAUCAAAGAUCAGUGCCCUCUUCAAACCCCCCUUCCUCCUCCUCCUCUUUUUCACCCAAACCAGCAGCUUCACCUCCUAUUGUUACUGAUGGAAACAACGAUGAAUUGACCGUCUGGAAAAGACGCAGCACCAAUACUAUAACACCAAUAAGCGAAGAGCUCCAGACCCGCAAAGUGGAAGGGACGAAAGUUCAAUUCACCAAUUGCUGGUGAAACCCUUUUCGGACGAUAAUUCUGGGAAGCCAGAAUGGACCACAUUGGGAACAACAGUGAUCAAGAACAAGAAGAGAUGCUAUGCUCAAUUCUAUUUAGACUUUGGUCAGUUUGAUUUCAAUGUCACGUUUAGAAUGAUUUUGAGAAUAUUUGACUCAUUUUGUGAUUUAAUCAUGUAUGAUAGUCGAAUUCUUAUUUCUUAUUUCUUA
Malus domestica (apple) is the source of this 450-nucleotide long non-coding RNA. RefSeq lists it as uncharacterized. NCBI's taxonomy places the organism in Eukaryota, Viridiplantae, Streptophyta, Magnoliopsida, Rosales, Rosaceae. The record is from RefSeq and is a predicted model, not a curated record.